Molecule: long non-coding RNA, 422 nt
Organism: Ornithodoros turicata
Lineage: Eukaryota; Metazoa; Arthropoda; Arachnida; Ixodida; Argasidae
Exons: 3
Source: RefSeq, a predicted model, not a curated record
UGUCAGGAAGGCGACAUACAGGUGUAUUUAGUGGAUGAGUUAUCACUUCGCUGUAUGGUUGCUGGUGCUGAGAAAUGCCUCGAUGACAUUUUCAUUGUUAAAAAUGGACUAUGGAAACAAGAUCAGUCAACAUGUGUGAGUGCACCUUCACCAAUCCCACAAAUGCCUCUGCUCUCACGAAUUUAUUGCCCUUGGGAGAGCCUCAGCAAGACAGUACUUGAUGCAUUGGAAGCAGACAAUGUUCCGCUUCCCUCUCAACGACAGGAAGUGGCACACAUGGCAGCGUCAUGGCCCUGCAUAUCCAUUGAAGGUGGGAGGCACUCCUGAUAUUUAUUCACAGGUAUAUUUGCUGUUUGCAUGGCUUACCUGGAUAGAGUACAGCAGAUAUAAAAAAAAAUGUUGUGACAUGCAUUGAAAUGUUG